AUGACGAGGAAGCACGCGGGCACCGGCGUCCUCCGCGCCCUCGUCGCUGUCGCGGCCUCCGUCGCGUCCGCCUCGUCCCGGACGCCCCCGAGGCGCGCCGCGCCCUACCUCGCCGUCCUCCUCCGCCGGGGCCGCGCCGAGGCCGCGGCGCGCCUCAACCGCCACCUCCGCCUGCUGCCUCUCCCGGAGUCCCCCGCCCUCCUCUCGGCGCUCCCCUCCGUCCGCGACGCCGUCUCCUACAACACCGUCCUCGCCGCGCUCUGCCGCCAGGGCUGCCUCGACGCCGCGCUCUUCCUCCUCCGCGUCAUGUCGCACGAGCCCCGCCUCGCCUGCCGCCCCAACGCCAUCUCCUACACCACCCUCAUGCGCGCGCUCUGCGCCGACCGUCGCGCGGGCCAGGCCGUCGGGCUGCUUCGGUCCAUGCAGGACUGCGGCGUCCGCCCCGACGUGGUCACCUACGGCACGCUCAUCCGUGGGCUGUGCGACGCCGCGGACGUUGACAAGGCCGUGGAGCUGCUGAAUGAGAUGUGCGAGAGUGGUAUCGAGCCCAACGUGGUUGUGUACAGUUCUUUACUCCAUGGGUACUGCAAGACCGGGAGGUGGGAAAGCGUAGGCAAGGUGUUCGAAGAAAUGUCUGACAAGGGUAUUGAGCCCGAUGUUGUGAUGUACACUAGUUUGAUCGAUAGCCUGUGUAGACACGGGAAGGUAACAAAGGCAGCGCGGGUGAUGGAAAUGAUGGCGGAGCGGGGGUUGGAGCCAAACGUGGUGACCUACAAUGUGCUGAUCAAUUCCAUGUGCAAGGAAGGGUCUGUGAGGGAGGCGCUCGAUUUGCGGAUGAAUAUGCUGGAGAAGGGCGUGCAACCAGAUGUUGUGACAUAUAACACACUCAUCACAGGGCUAUCUAGUGUGCUUGAGAUGGAUGAGGUGAUGGCGUUGCUAGAGGAGAUGAUGCAAGGUGAAACUAAAGUUAGGCCUGACUUGAUGACAUUCAACUCGGUUAUACAUGGACUUUGUAAGAUUGGUUGGAUGCGGCAAGCGUUUGAGGUCCGUGCCAUGAUGGCUGAGAAUGGAUGCAGGUGUAACUUGGUGACAUUUAACCUGCUAAUUGGUGGACUCCUUAGAGUCCACAAGGUAAAGAAGGCCAUGAAGCUGAAGGAUGAGAUGGCUAGUUCUGGACUGCAGCCUGAUUCGUUCACCUAUAGCAUAUUGAUAAAUGGCUUCUGUAAAAUGCGGCAAGUUGAACGUGCGGAAAGCCUCUUGUCUGAAAUGAGACGUCAAGGGAUGGAGCCUGAGCCAGUUCACUAUAUUCCUUUGCUUAAAGCUAUGUGUGAUCAAGGCAUGAUGGGGCAGGCUAGGGAUUUGUUCAAUGAAAUGUAUAUGAACUGCAAAUUAGAUGCUGCUGCAUAUAGCACUAUGGUCCAUGGUGCUUUCAAAUCAGGGGAGAAGAAAAUUGCAGAAGAGUUUCUUAAAGAUAUGAUUGAUGAGGGACUGAUUCCUGAUGCUGUGACAUAUUCUAUCCCAAUCAACAUGUUUGCAAAAUCUGGAGACCUGGCAGCGGCGGAGCGGGUGCUUAAACAGAUGAAAGCAAGUGGCUUUGUGCCUGACGUUGCUGUAUUUGAUUCACUGAUCCAAGGUUAUGGAGCUGAAGGCGACACCGAGAAGGUUCUUGAGUUAACUCGUGAAAUGACAGCCAAGGGUGUAGCACUUGAUCCUAAAAUUAUUUCAACUAUUGUCACUUCUCUUGGGGCAAGCAUUGAAGGGCAAGAGUUAUUGCAGAGCUUGCCUGGUUUUGAUAAAGAAAUAUCAAAAGGCGAUGCCAUUUUGCCCCAUGAUGUAAUGAAUAUGCUACAAAAACAAUGCACCAAACCUGAAUCCCCUGCUCCUUGC
Molecule: ribosomal RNA, 1887 nt
Filed under: Triticum aestivum (bread wheat)
Lineage: Eukaryota; Viridiplantae; Streptophyta; Magnoliopsida; Poales; Poaceae
Description: partial small subunit ribosomal RNA
Source: RNAcentral